Molecule: transfer-messenger RNA, 345 nt
Filed under: Bacteroidota bacterium
Lineage: Bacteria; Pseudomonadati; Bacteroidota
Rfam family: transfer-messenger RNA
About the family: Bacterial tmRNA, also known as 10Sa RNA or SsrA, is named for its dual tRNA and mRNA-like properties. Its role is to liberate the mRNA from a stalled ribosome. To accomplish this part of the tmRNA is used as a reading frame that ends in a translation stop signal.
Source: RNAcentral
GGGCGUGAUUGGAAUUGAUUGUCAUGGAAAGUAAAUAGUUCAUGCGACACGGUUAGGACACCUAAAGUCCAACAUCACAAAUGGCACAGCGCAAGUUGUUUCCAUGGACCGCAGCUACUUAGCAGCAGCUUGAGUUCUGGGCUCUCUUAGCCUCGAAACAGAAGACAGAGCCGACUUAUCGGAUAAAUAGGUGGUGGAGUUGGGUUGAAUCUUUGUCAACCCACAAUUAGUUAAGUAGCUGUCUUUUACAGUCAACAGUUAUAGGAAAACGUAAAAGUCUAAGCAUGUGUAAUGGCUAUGAGAAGAAAUGACAAGACCGGGGUUCGACUCCCCGCAUGUCCACAA